This 829-nucleotide unclassified non-coding RNA is filed under the name Hevea brasiliensis (rubber tree). Lineage: Eukaryota; Viridiplantae; Streptophyta; Magnoliopsida; Malpighiales; Euphorbiaceae. The record is from RNAcentral.
GGUAGAUUUCCUAAAAGCACCCGUAGUGCCACCACAUAAACUACACUCGGCAACAAAAUAGGGCUUCUCCCAAAAAUUGAGGGAAGCAGCUGCAGAGCACUUAGAUGACAAUAAUUCCUCACAUAAUUCACAGUACCAUGGACCUGUAGAUUCUUUGACACUACGAUAGCAAUCCAAGUGCACUGCAACCUUGCAACUGGAACAGACUAAGAUGGGGUUCAGAAUUGUCUCAGAUCGUCUGCAAAUAUCACAUGAUCUAGGAUGCUCUUUAGAAAAAUCAGGAACUGACUGAACAAAAUCAGAGUACUUUUCUGAUGAAUUCCUUGGAACAGCCACCCUUGAAAGUGUCUCUUUUGGACGUGGCAUCAGCUGAGAAGAAAGGCCAGCCCUCCCAUUAGAAACAUCAAAUUUCUCCUGAUGAUUAGGGUCAUCGUACGUGUCUUUCCUAAAUGAUGAAACCCUAGAAGAGGAGGCAGCAGCUGCAGUUGCAGCUGCUAGCACAGCCUGGGCUUCUUUAUGCUUUCUUUCUUUCCUGCCCUGCUUCUUUGCUUCUCUAAGCUCAACAAGAUACUGGUUGACAAGCACUGCAUCCCAUCUUUGGGCCCUGGCUAUGUCAAUCUCCUGUGGCAUACUCUUAGCAACCUUACAAAUUAAAUUAUCAGUAUAGCAUUUUCUUGCAACUGCAUUGUCAAGUAAUCUAUGCUGAAAAUAAAUAAUUUCGCCUUCCACUUCAUCUGCUGGAGACAGCUCAAAAACUCCCACUUUCUCAUCCUUAACCAGCUGAUCUGGAUUUACUUCAACAGAUUUGUACAGGUCAUUGCACAUUGAA